AAAAGGAGAAGAGGGGUGUAAGAAGGAGGUUGAUCUUUGCCUAGUAAAGGAAGAUCGUUAGUGGAUGCCAGUGGCCUCAACAGAAGAGGAAUCGGAGGAGUGGAUGUAGGUCACGAUUGACCGAACCACUAUAAACUCCCGUCUUCUCUGGUUUGCAUUUUGUUUCCUGCUAUUACCUUACUGCAAACCCCUUUAAUAGCUUACUGCCUU
This 210-nucleotide long non-coding RNA is filed under the name Musa acuminata (dwarf banana). RNAcentral's name for it is "long non-coding RNA (MACU_LNC007111)". The record is from RNAcentral. Lineage: Eukaryota; Viridiplantae; Streptophyta; Magnoliopsida; Zingiberales; Musaceae.